CUAACGCUAAGAAUACGUGUAGUCGUAUCAGAUGUGUGUAUAUGUGUACGUGUGUGUGUAAUAUCCGGUUAACGAACCAAACCAAAUAGUAGAAAAUAUCAUUCGUUGUAAAAACUUUGAGAACAAUUGGAAAUUUACCGCUGCGAAAAGGAUACCUAUAUGUAAAAGGUAUUGUUUGUUUCUGUUGAAUAAAAGAUCACAUAAAAAAUGCUAAAUAAAGAAUACUAUUAUUUUUGUUUCUUUUGUUUAAGCAUUCAUCUCGAUCAUAGCUUCUCUUACAAACAAAAACAAAAUCACGUAUACUUCUGUGUGACCGUGUCUAUUCGACAACCAUAAAUUGUUCGGCUCUUGCUAACUACCCUGUAUAUAUGUACAGAAUCGAUGCAAAUAUUCGACUCUGUCUAAUCGCAAGAACGAGAAAUAAGGAUAUGCAUUUCUUUUCUAACAUGAUGUGUAUGGAUACGCUUCCAUAAAAGAAAGAAAAAGAAACUUAGUCUCUGCACGCACCGAUAAAAUAGGCGAAUAAAUCCAUAUGACACUAUGUGUAAAUUUUGAAUAAAGGAAGAAAACUAUAUAUGUAUAAAAUGUAUAAGGAAAAGAGCGAAAACAUAUGAAAUUGUGACGCGGAGGCCAUUAUUUUCUCGUGAAGUCGUCUCAUCUUAUACACUGGACGAGGAA
Molecule: long non-coding RNA, 678 nt
Organism: Bombus impatiens (common eastern bumble bee)
Lineage: Eukaryota; Metazoa; Arthropoda; Insecta; Hymenoptera; Apidae
Exons: 3
Source: RefSeq, a predicted model, not a curated record